GGCCUCAUAGUUCAAGGGAUAGAACGGAAGUUUCCUAAACUUUAAAUACAGGUUCGAGUCCUGUUGGGGCUA
Molecule: transfer RNA, 72 nt
Filed under: Bacteroidales bacterium
Lineage: Bacteria; Pseudomonadati; Bacteroidota; Bacteroidia; Bacteroidales
Also listed under: 1 other name
Description: tRNA-Arg
Rfam family: tRNA
About the family: Transfer RNA (tRNA) molecules are approximately 80 nucleotides in length. Their secondary structure includes four short double-helical elements and three loops (D, anti-codon, and T loops).
Source: RNAcentral